AGCGGUCUCAGAGCUUCAGGUUCUGCCCUGUCCUGCCCGGGUCGGGGGUCUCCGGGGGUCUCGGGGGGGCUCCGGGGGUCUUUGGAGCUGCAGGUGCUGCCUCGACCGUGCUCGGGCCGGGGGUCCCGGGGGUCUCCAGGGAUCCCGGGGGUCUCGGGAGUCUUGGGGGGUCUUGGAGCUUCAGGUUCUGCCCUGUCCGUGCCCAGGUCGGGGGUCCCGGGGGGUCUCGGGGGGGUUCCGGGAGUCUCUGGAGCUGCAGGUGAAGGACGAGGGUGGGCAAGCUCUGGGCAGUCUCAGCUUGCCCCUGGCGGAGCUGCUGGCCCGGGAGGGGCUGGCCAUGGACGGCUGGGUCCCGCUGGCCGGGGGCGCUCAGCUCCUGCUGCGGGCGCAGCUCGGGGUGCUGGUGUCGCAGCGGGUGGAGGCGAGCGCUGCCAGCAGAGCCCCCGAGGGGGGGGACACGGAGCCGCGACAGGAGGAGGAGGAGGAGGAGGAGGAGGGUGAAGAUGAGCGCGGGGUGGGGGGGCUGCGCCAGCGCCUGCCCCCGGCGGACAGGUGGGGACAAAUCCCACCCUCCCCGGACAUCCCAACCC
RNAcentral lists this long non-coding RNA (590 nucleotides) under Parus major (Great Tit). RNAcentral describes it as "lncRNA (ENSPMJG00000015989.1)". The record is from RNAcentral. Lineage: Eukaryota; Metazoa; Chordata; Aves; Passeriformes; Paridae.